GGGCUUGUAGCUCAGUGGUAGAGCGCUCGCUUCGCAUGCGAGAGGUCGUGGGUUCAAUUCCCACCAAGUCCA
This 72-nucleotide transfer RNA is filed under the name Penicilliopsis zonata CBS 506.65. It matches the Rfam family "tRNA". From Rfam's summary of the family: Transfer RNA (tRNA) molecules are approximately 80 nucleotides in length. Their secondary structure includes four short double-helical elements and three loops (D, anti-codon, and T loops). Lineage: Eukaryota; Fungi; Ascomycota; Eurotiomycetes; Eurotiales; Aspergillaceae. The record is from Rfam by way of RNAcentral.